AGUGAACGCUGGCGGUAGGCCUAACACAUGCAAGUCGAACGGCAGCACAGUAAGAGCUUGCUCUUACGGGUGGCGAGUGGCGGACGGGUGAGGAAUACAUCGGAAUCUACUUUUUCGUGGGGGUUAACGUAGGGAAACUUACGCUAAUACCGCAUACGACCUACGGGUGAAAGCAGGGGAUAUUCGGACCUUGCGCGGUUGAAUGAGCCGAUGUUGGUGUUGCUAGUUGGGGGGGUAAAGGCCCACCCAGGGGACGAUCCGUGGCUGGUCUGAGAGGAUGAUAAGCCACACUGGAACUGAGACACGGUCCAGACUACUACGGGAGGCAGCAGUGGGGAAUAGUGGACAAUGGUCGCAAGCCUGAUCCAGCCAGACCGAGUGUGUGAAGAAGGCCUUCGGGUUGUAAAGCCCUUUUGUUGGGAAAGAAAAGCAGCAGGUUAAUACCCCGCUGUUCUGACGGUACCCAAAAAAUAAGCACCGGCUAACUUCGUG
This 492-nucleotide ribosomal RNA is filed under the name uncultured bacterium. RNAcentral describes it as "partial 16S ribosomal RNA". It matches the Rfam family "Bacterial small subunit ribosomal RNA", at positions 29 to 507 of the family's 1533-position model. The record is from RNAcentral.